Molecule: ribosomal RNA, 391 nt
Filed under: uncultured Desulfobulbus sp.
Lineage: Bacteria; Pseudomonadati; Thermodesulfobacteriota; Desulfobulbia; Desulfobulbales; Desulfobulbaceae
Description: bacterial SSU rRNA
Rfam family: Bacterial small subunit ribosomal RNA
Source: RNAcentral
GACCUUAGGAACUAGGGGUGCUUCCAUCUGGAAGAAUCUGGAGACAGGUGCUGCAUGGCUGUCGUCAGCUCGUGUCGUGAGAUGUUGGUUAAGUCCCGCAACGAGCGCAACCCUUGCCUUUAGUUGCCAGCAGUUCGGCUGGGCACUCUAAAGGGACUGCCGGUGUUAAACCGGAGGAAGGUGGGGAUGACGUCAAGUCCUCAUGGCCUUUAUGACCAGGGCUACACACGUACUACAAUGGCCGAUACAAAGGGCAGCGACACUGCGAGGUGAAGCCAAUCCCGUAAAAUACGGUCUCAGUCCGGAUUGGAGUCUGCAACUCGACUCCAUGAAGUUGGAAUCGCUAGUAAUCGUGGAUCAGCAUGCCACGGUGAAUACGUUCCCGGGCCUU